GUGAAGGGGAGCGAGUGUGGCUUCGAGGAUGAUUGAACCGCGUCUCUAGUGUGCAUGUUAUGUAAGGCUUCGGGAGGUGUAUGUUUGUGGCCCUGCGCUGCAACGGUUACUUCCUUUUAACACAUUGAUCUUAUUUGAUCGGGCCGGGAUGCCGCCGCCUCCCAGCCUGAAAUGAAAAGACUCUCUUCUGUGAAGCCCUUGGCGCUGUACAGAGAAGCAGGUUUAAUGAGCAUGCGGCAGUUUUGUCGGAGAUGAUGAAUUGAUCAGAUAGAUGAGGCUGGAGGUUGGAAAAUUCCUCCUCCUAGCCAAUGUGUAUCGAAGCGAUUCUGAUCCGG
Non-coding RNA from Candoia aspera, 335 nucleotides. RefSeq annotates it as small Cajal body-specific RNA 2. The transcript has a single exon. Lineage: Eukaryota; Metazoa; Chordata; Lepidosauria; Squamata; Candoiidae. The record is from RefSeq and is a predicted model, not a curated record.